This 112-nucleotide ribosomal RNA is filed under the name uncultured bacterium. Its description in RNAcentral is "partial 16S ribosomal RNA". It matches the Rfam family "Bacterial small subunit ribosomal RNA", at positions 403 to 507 of the family's 1533-position model. The record is from RNAcentral.
GGAGGAUGACGGUUUUAGGAUUGUAAACUCCUGUUAAGUGGGAAGAAAGGCCAGUCUCUAAUAUAGACUGGAAAUGACGGUACCACUAGAGAAAGCACCGGCUAACUUCGUG